GACGAACGCUGGCGGCGUGCUUAACACAUGCAAGUCGAACGGUAAGGCCCUUCGGGGUACACGAGUGGCGAACGGGUGAGUAACACGUGGGUGAUCUGCCCUGCACUUCGGGAUAAGCCUGGGAAACUGGGUCUAAUACCGGAUAGGACCAUGCUCUUCACGGGGUGUGGGGGAAAGCUUUUGCGGUGUGGGAUGGGCCCGCGGCCUAUCAGCUUGUUGGUGGGGUAAUGGCCUACCAAGGCGACGACGGGUAGCCGGCCGGAGAGGGUGACCGGCCACACUGGGACUGAGAUACGGCCCAGACUCCUACGGGAGGCAGCAGUGGGGAAUAUUGCACAAUGGGCGCAAGCCUGAUGCAGCGACGCCGCGUGAGGGAUGACGGCCUUCGGGUUGUAAACCUCUUUCAGUAGGGACGAAGCGCAAGUGACGGUACCUACAGAAGAAGGACCGGCCAACUACGUGCCAGCCGCCGCGGUAA
Molecule: ribosomal RNA, 478 nt
Filed under: uncultured bacterium
Lineage: Bacteria
Description: partial 16S ribosomal RNA
Rfam family: Bacterial small subunit ribosomal RNA
Source: RNAcentral